GCUAGUUGUACGAGUUCAGACUCGUAGCAGAUAGCUCAGUAACACGUGGCCAAACUACCCUAUGGACCCAGACAACCUCGGGAAACUGAGGCUAAUCUGGGAUACGAUUCUCCCGCUGGAACUGCAGAGAAUCCGAAACGCCCCGGCGCCAUAGGAUGUGGCUGCGGCCGAUUAGGUAGACGGUGGGGUAACGGCCCACCGUGCCGAUAAUCGGUACGGGUUGUGAGAGCAAGAGCCCGGAGACGGUAUCUGAGACAAGAUACCGGGCCCUACGGGGCGCAGCAGGCGCGAAACCUUUACACUGCACGCCAGUGCGAUAAGGGGACUCCGAGUGCGAGGGCAUAUAGUCCUCGCUUUUCACCACCGUAAGGUGGUGGUGGAAUAAGUGCUGGGCAAGACCGGUGCCAGCCGCCGCGGUAAUACCGGCAGCACGAGUGAUGACCGCUAUUAUUGGGCCUAAAGCGUCCGUAGCUGGCCGCGCAAGUCUAUCGGGAAAUCUGCCCGCCUAACGGGCAGGCGUCCGGUGGAAACUGUGUGGCUUGGGACCGGAAGAUCAGAAGGGUACGUCCGGGGUAGGAGUGAAAUCCCGUAAUCCUGGACGGACCACCGGUGGCGAGAGCGCCUCUGGAGGACGGAUCCGACGGUGAGGGACGAAAGCUCGGG
Molecule: ribosomal RNA, 663 nt
Filed under: archaeon SVAL2.55
Lineage: Archaea
Description: bacterial SSU rRNA
Rfam family: Archaeal small subunit ribosomal RNA
Source: RNAcentral